Molecule: ribosomal RNA, 497 nt
Filed under: uncultured bacterium
Lineage: Bacteria
Description: partial 16S ribosomal RNA
Rfam family: Bacterial small subunit ribosomal RNA
Source: RNAcentral
GACGAACGCUGGCGGCGUGCUUAACACAUGCAAGUCGAACGGUGAAGCGCCUUCCUUUUUGGUGGGUGUGGAUGAGUGGCGAACGGGUGUGUAACACGUGAGUAACCUGCUCCCUUCUUCUGGAUAACCGCAUGACAGUGUGGCUAAUACGGGAUAUUCUGGGUCUGUCGCAUGAUGGGUCUGGGGAAGAUAUUGUUUCGGUGGGGGAUGGGCUCGCGGCCUAUUAGCUUGUUGGCGGGGUGAUGGCCUACCAAGGCGGCGGUGAGUAGCCGGCCUGAGAGGGUGAUGGACCGUCACGCUAGGAAGAAGCGGCGGACACGCCUACUACGGGAAGCAGGAGUGGAGCUUCUUGCACGAUGGGAGCAAGGCUGAUGCAGCGCCGCCGCGUGGGGGAUGGACGCCUUAGGGUUGAGAACCUCUUUCGCGAGUGAAGCAGGCUUGACUCGUUUGUGCGUGGGUUGACGGUAGCUGGAUAAGAAGCGCCGGCUAACUACGUG